UACGUAGGUGGCGAGCGUUGUCCGGAAUUACUGGGUGUAAAGGGCGUGUAGGCGGGGAUACAAGUCAGAUGUGAAAUACCGAGGCUUAACUUCGGGGCUGCAUCUGAAACUGUGUCUCUUGAGUGUCGGAGAGGAAAGUGGAAUUCCCAGUGUAGCGGUGAAAUGCGUAGAUAUUGGGAGGAACACCAGUGGCGAAGGCGACUUUCUGGCCAGUUACUGACGCUCAUGCGCGAAAGCUGGGGUAGCGAACCGGAUUAGAUACCCGGGUAGUCCCU
This 275-nucleotide ribosomal RNA is filed under the name uncultured prokaryote. RNAcentral's name for it is "partial 16S ribosomal RNA". It matches the Rfam family "Bacterial small subunit ribosomal RNA", at positions 524 to 798 of the family's 1533-position model. The record is from RNAcentral.